ACGCAUCGAACACAUUGACGAGCAUAGUCGAGAAGCAGGUUUCGCUACUACUUGGAGACGCAUCGAACACAUUGACGAGCAUAGUCGAGAAGCAGGUUUCGCUACUACUUGGAGACGCAUCGAACACAUUGACGAGCAUAGUCGAGAAGCAGGUUUCGCUACUACUUGGAGACGCAUCGAACACAUCGACAAGCACAGUCGAGAAGCAGGUUUCGCUACUACUUGGAAGAGGGCUAAGAGACGGGGUUUUUUAGUCCCACAUUGCUCAGUUCAGAGGACUGCUCGGCCAAACCCGCUAUAUAACGAGCGGAAUGUUCAUCAAUUGAAAUCACGCAGCUGCGUGGUGAGCACAGAGCGAACUAUUCUUUCGCCUUUUACUAAAGAAUACCGUGUGCACGCCACAUAAAGCAGCAUACGCCAAUUUUUGGAGGGAUUCGUCUCUUUUAGAGAGGGGUCCCAACAAAGCUUAAACCAAACUAAUGGCCAGGGGACAUAUGACGUUGUAAUAGAGUAAAUGGAUUUUGCCGGAGAUCUGAUUACUGACAAACAGUUCAGUCUGUCCAAAAUAGAAAUCCUGCCUCCUGAAGAUGAAGUAUUGUGGCAGCAGCAGAUGUGUCUUCCACAAGAUCAUGUUGUUCUUCAAAGUAUGUCUUCUUCAUUAUAAAGAGAAAGAAAUUUGAUACUAGCAGACAUUUUUUCCAUACCAACAACAAAGCAAUUUAUCAAUUUAUUGGAGAUUUAUCUGGGCUUCAAAGAAGACAGCCAGUGAGUGCUCAGAAACACAAGAGAGCAUCCACUGCAAACAAUCUGAGACAGCAGAACUUGUCUUCUCAAAAUAGCCAGUGAGUAGUGGUCAGAAACACAAGGGAGCAUCCACUGAAAACAAUUUGAUGCUUCAUGUUCCAAAGAUUCCUUUUGUCCAUUGAUUGAAUGCUCUGCUACAGCUCAUCACUUGAAAGCUGCAGAAGCUUAGGACCAUAGCAAUGAGACCAAAUACAAGAAAACCCAGUCAAGGAGAACACAAGAUAACAUAUCACCUGAUCUUGGCCCCUCCAGAUCAAGAAUGUUCUCCACUUGAAUGCCGGAUUGAUUUGGAUGAGUUUGAUUCAUUGCUCAUUACAAUGUGUCCACAUACACAGAAUUUGACAGCUUAUACUGCAUCCAAGCAUUACCUUCCAAAGCUCAAGACACAGGCUGCUCCACAUGAGACUCUUUCAUGCCGCUUUGUAUCCAAACUAAAGGACAAAGGACACACUGCAACUUUCCCUUACACCCAUCCAAUUUAUUUUCUGUGUUGCAAAGCUUUUUACCCUUCCUUUUGUUUUCAGUUGAUUGCUGACUCUUUUUACCCCUCUGAACUCCUUGUAAGAACUUGUGACAGGUCUUUUCUUAGUAUUUGCAUGAUAUGCUGAAG
Molecule: long non-coding RNA, 1414 nt
Organism: Musa acuminata AAA Group (dessert banana)
Lineage: Eukaryota; Viridiplantae; Streptophyta; Magnoliopsida; Zingiberales; Musaceae
Exons: 3
Source: RefSeq, a predicted model, not a curated record